Molecule: transfer RNA, 69 nt
Filed under: Ictidomys tridecemlineatus (thirteen-lined ground squirrel)
Lineage: Eukaryota; Metazoa; Chordata; Mammalia; Rodentia; Sciuridae
Description: Spermophilus tridecemlineatus (thirteen-lined ground squirrel) tRNA
Rfam family: tRNA
About the family: Transfer RNA (tRNA) molecules are approximately 80 nucleotides in length. Their secondary structure includes four short double-helical elements and three loops (D, anti-codon, and T loops). Further hydrogen bonds mediate the characteristic L-shaped molecular structure. tRNAs have two regions of fundamental functional importance: the anti-codon, which is responsible for specific mRNA codon recognition, and the 3' end, to which the tRNAs corresponding amino acid is attached (by aminoacyl-tRNA synthetases). tRNAs cope with the degeneracy of the genetic code in two manners: having more than one tRNA (with a specific anti-codon) for a particular amino acid; and 'wobble' base-pairing, i.e. permitting non-standard base-pairing at the 3rd anti-codon position.
Source: Rfam by way of RNAcentral
GGGGUUGUGGCUCAGUGGUAGAACCCUUGCCUAGCAUGCAAGAGGCACUGGGUUCAAUCCCCAACACCA